GGGGGUGAAUUGGUUUCGACGUGGGUUCGGACGCGUUUCAGGGCAUGCCGAGGUUCUGUCACCUCGUAAAACAGCAGAAAAAAACUAACUGCAAACGACGAACGUUUCGCACUCGCCGCUUAAACACCGGUGAGCCUCACAACAGCAGGCCGAUGGGCUGGGCAAGGGGGUCGAAAGACUUCCAGGCUGUGAGGGAAUUUACAUCGGCUGGUCAUGCGUCGGGCACCUUGGCGUAUGACGAGAUCUAAGGAUGCUGGCUUCCUGGGUAGCGUGCCACUGCGCGAUCUUGGAGGCGAGACUCAAAUCAGACGGCUAAGCAUGUAGAACUGGGCGAAGAAGGCUUGCGGACGCGGGUUCAAACCCCGCCACCUCCAUAC
Molecule: transfer-messenger RNA, 377 nt
Filed under: Paracidovorax konjaci
Lineage: Bacteria; Pseudomonadati; Pseudomonadota; Betaproteobacteria; Burkholderiales; Comamonadaceae
Also listed under: 1 other name
Description: Acidovorax konjaci transfer-messenger RNA
Rfam family: transfer-messenger RNA
About the family: Bacterial tmRNA, also known as 10Sa RNA or SsrA, is named for its dual tRNA and mRNA-like properties.
Source: RNAcentral